This 115-nucleotide small nuclear RNA is filed under the name Canis lupus familiaris (dog). Lineage: Eukaryota; Metazoa; Chordata; Mammalia; Carnivora; Canidae. The record is from RNAcentral.
GUGCUCACUUCGGCAGCACAUAUACUAAAAUUGGAACGAUACAGAGAAGAUUAGCAUGGCCCCUGCACAAGGAUGACACGCAAAUCUGUGGACCAGAAGGGAAAGCCAGCCUCUU